Cyprinus carpio carpio is the source of this 1433-nucleotide long non-coding RNA. NCBI's taxonomy places the organism in Eukaryota, Metazoa, Chordata, Actinopteri, Cypriniformes, Cyprinidae. The record is from Ensembl.
GUUCUGGGCAGGGCAAUGGACAAUAUUUGUAUUCCGAAAGGCACAAUGCACAGAGACUGUAACAAGUGGUUAUUUGCUCUAGGAUUGGUAAAUAAAUUUUUUUAUUUUGGUUUAGACAGCAGACUACUGGAAAUAUGGGUGUGGAAAUGCAUGCCUCAACCCUGCAUCCCCAGGAGCACCAUGGGCAGUUCUAGGGUCAAUGAAUAUCUGAGGCUUUGCCCAGACAUCUGUGUCUGAGCCCAUCCCUUGAAGUUGUAUUGGAAUAAGAUGCAGUUUAACAUAAAUCUUGAUAUGCUACAUCUGCAAGGAGUCAUUUUACCAGAUACCCUCACAAAAGCAAACCUGCCUGGAGUAGCCAGUUUAACUGGGACAUUUGCAUCGUAAUGACCCGUGAGUCAAUUUCCUGAUAUUUCCUACUUUUAUAGUCUUGAAACUCAACCAGAGGUUCAAGUUAAUGAAGUUAAUUAAACUGGAACAUGAACCGGAAAUUCACAAGUCCACCCCACAACACUGGUGCACACAUAAGUGUGAACAAGAAAUGAGAACAGGCUAUCUGAACAUGCUUUUGAAAGCUACACUACCAAAGUUUAUUAAUUCAUAUGUCAUGCUGUGUUCAACAGCCGGUGAAGAGAACUUGUCAUCCUCUGUUCCGACACACCUUUUGACUUUGAUAUUAAAUCAGGCACCUCCAUAGAUUGAGCCUUGGAAUGGAACUGUCAUGGAAUGUUUGAGACCAACUGUGAUUAUUAUUUUGCUGUUCUAGGCAAGCUGAUGCUAAGAUUUCCUGUUCUGUCCCCUUAUAAUUUCCAUCCAAGAAGAAAGUGAUGCAUUUCGUACUGAAGCAUUAUUCAUGUGGGGACCCUGGUUGCAUUACAUUUCUUUUUUAUUUAUUUAUUUUCAGCUGAAUACAGAGCUGCUUGACAGUCUGUAUAGAGUUGGGAUUUGUUUCUAAGGUAAAAUGAUUUAGCUGCAUAUGACAAGGGAGACAAUUUUUAUGCUAUAGCAUAAAUAAUAUUGUAAGCAUUAGUCAACAUGAAACAACAUUCAAAAACGAGGAGGGCUAUACACUACAUGUUACUCUAUAUUGCAUUCCCAUUCAUUCUCAAUGAGCUCUCCAAAAAAUAAUUGGCCACUUGUGAACCAUCUUUUAUGAAUAAUAUAAUGUUACUAGCAAACACUUUUAUUUCAUCAAAAUACACAGCUAUUUUUGAAUGGCCAUCAAUGGAGAAAGAAGCUCUUUUGCAGCUAGAUGGUGCAGUAAUGCAUAACAGCAGGGACUUAUCAGGAAACUUUGACCUUUGCAAACAAACUAGUUGAUUACUGUAAUGUGACAUAUUCUUGACCCAAACAUUUUCAGCCAGAAACAACAUGAAUAUUCAACAGGAAUUUAAAUAUGUCUUUGUUUUGGUCAGUUGUUUUUGGAAUGAUGAGUU